CCCUGGCAGUCAGAGGCGAUGAAGGACGUGCUAAUCUGCGAUAAGCGUCGGUAAGGUGAUAUGAACCGUUAUAACCGGCGAUUUCCGAAUGGGGAAACCCAGUGUGAUUCGUCACACUAUCAUUAACUGAAUCCAUAGGUUAAUGAGGCGAACCGGGGGAACUGAAACAUCUAAGUACCCCGAGGAAAAGAAAUCAACCGAGAUUCCCCCAGUAGCGGCGAGCGAACGGGGA
RNAcentral lists this ribosomal RNA (232 nucleotides) under Escherichia coli. Its description in RNAcentral is "partial 23S ribosomal RNA". It matches the Rfam family "Bacterial large subunit ribosomal RNA", at positions 31 to 263 of the family's 2925-position model. Lineage: Bacteria; Pseudomonadati; Pseudomonadota; Gammaproteobacteria; Enterobacterales; Enterobacteriaceae. The record is from RNAcentral.